GAUGAACGCUAGCGGCAGGCUUAACGCAUGCAAGUCGAGGGGUAGAGGCCUUCGGGACUUGAGACCGGCGCACGGGUGCGUAACGCGUGUGCAAUCUGCCUUCCACAGAGGGAUAGCCCAGAGAAAUUUGGAUUAAUACCUCAUAGCAUCAUGACCCGGCAUCGGGAUAUGAUUAAAGUCACAACGGUGGAAGAUGAGCAUGCGUCCCAUUAGCUAGUUGGUAAGGUAACGGCUUACCAAGGCUACGAUGGGUAGGGGUCCUGAGAGGGGAGAUCCCCCACCACUGGUACUGAGACACGGACCAGACUCCUACGGGAGGCAGCAGUGAGGAAUAUUGGUCAAUGGGCGCAAGCCUGAACCAGCCACGCCGCGUGCAGGAUGACGGUCCUAUGGAUUGUAAAACUGCUUUUGUACGGGAAGAAACCCUCCUACGUGUAGGAGCUUGACGGUACCGUAAGAAUAAGGAUCGGCUAACUCCGUGCCAGCAGCCGCGGUAAUACGGAGGAUCCAAGCGUUAUCCGGAAUCAUUGGGUUUAAAGGGUCCGUAGGCGGUCUUGUAAGUCAGUGGUGAAAGCCCAUCGCUCAACGGUGGAACGGCCAUUGAUACUGCUGGACUUGAAUUAUUGGGAAGCAACUAGAAUAUGUAGUGUAGC
This 653-nucleotide ribosomal RNA is filed under the name uncultured bacterium. Its description in RNAcentral is "bacterial SSU rRNA". It matches the Rfam family "Bacterial small subunit ribosomal RNA", at positions 28 to 679 of the family's 1533-position model. The record is from RNAcentral.